RNAcentral lists this ribosomal RNA (252 nucleotides) under uncultured bacterium. RNAcentral describes it as "partial 16S ribosomal RNA". It matches the Rfam family "Bacterial small subunit ribosomal RNA", at positions 524 to 776 of the family's 1533-position model. The record is from RNAcentral.
UACGUAGGUCCCGAGCGUUGUCCGGAUUUAUUGGGCGUAAAGCGAGCGCAGGUGGUUUAUUAAGUCUGGUGUAAAAGGCAGUGGCUCAACCAUUGUAUGCAUUGGAAACUGGUAGACUUGAGUGCAGGAGAGGAGAGUGGAAUUCCAUGUGUAGCGGUGAGAUGCGUAGAUAUAUGGAGGAACACCGGUGGCGAAAGCGGCUCUCUGGCCUGUAACUGACACUGAGGCUCGAAAGCGUGAGGAGCAAACAGG